GGCCUUCAGGGAAAGAGGGCCUUCUCUGAGGGGAGGCUGCCUCAGGGGCUUUGACAGGACCAACAUUCUUAGCCUGGUCUCUCUGAAGAGCAGACUUGCACGUACAGAAGAAAGUGCUGGAAACUUAUUGGAGAACAUUAUAAGGGAUGAUAUGAGAGUACUGGAUGAGAAAGAACAGGGCUGAAGAGAAGGAGUGGCUAUAAUCUCAGUGGAGGAAGGGGUCUUCAGAGUGGACCCCAGUCCUUAUUAUCUGUGGGGUUCUUCAGAAAAGAAGCUGGGACUUAGGGUUCGAAGUUUGUGAGCGCCCGACUCGCCAGCAAGAAAAACGCCACAACAGGAUCCUUCUGCACACGUUCACCGACAUACUCCAGAGCCCAGCGGACUCCACCUGCCUCUUUAUUAUCAGUAGAAGAGUGAGCACCUAGCAACACAAAAUUGAAUCUUUUUGCUGCUUUGGCACCAGGAUACCCAUGGCAACUUGCUUGUGUUUCUGUGGUGUGACCUUCUAUGGCUGUUUUAUGAACCUGCGUGUAUUCUCCAAGAAGUAGAGGGCAAUGUCCCACCCCCAAAAGCAGAGAAAACACAGAAGGAUGAAGAACUGUGAAAAGGUCAUGGACUUUGGAGUUGGGCAGAAGUGAGUGUGAGCUGCAUUGCCUCUUCCUGAUGCAGAAGCUUUGUAGCCAGCACUGUGUCUGUUAGAUGAUGAGGCUGCUAUUGAAGAGAAGAAGAGAACAUUCCACGAUACAGAAAGGUCUCCAGGGUCCUGGCUAGCCUAGUCCUCAUCGGCCCUACCAUUCUUCCCUUCUCUAAAUUCCACCAAUGCUUUUUCAUGGGUUCUCUAAGCCAGUGGUUCUCAACUUGUGGGUUGUGACCCCUUGGGUGGGGAUGUUAACUAUCUCUUCAUAGGAGUCACAUAGCAGAUAUCCAUCCUAUCAGAUUACAUUUGCAUUACCAUUCAUAUCCGUUCCAAAAUUACAGCUAUGAAAAUAACUUUAUAGUCAGGGGUCAUGACAACAUGAGCAACUUUUAAAGGGUCACAGCAUUAUGAAGGUUGAGAACCACUGCUCUGGGCUCUAAGACUAAGGGUGCCUGGGGAUCUGCAUACUUCUCUCUAUUCCAUUCUUCUACUAGUUCAUUCUUCCUGAAGCUUCAGAACUCAGCCAGAGUGUCACUGUCUCAAAGAAGCCUUCCCUGUCUCCAGCUAAGUGGGAUGCCCUGUGAAGUGCACCCUGAGCAUCGCAAGACUUCUCAUAAUUGUUGUCAAGGCUAAUAAUUGUGUACUAAC
Long non-coding RNA from Mus musculus (house mouse), 1285 nucleotides. RefSeq annotates it as RIKEN cDNA 4933416M06 gene. The transcript is spliced from 6 exons. Lineage: Eukaryota; Metazoa; Chordata; Mammalia; Rodentia; Muridae. The record is from RefSeq and is marked validated.